UACGUAGGCAGCAAGCGUUGUUCGGAGUUACUGGGCGUAAAGAGUGCGUAGGCGGUCCUGUAAGUUUGGUGUGAAAUCUCCCGGCUCAACUGGGAGGGUGCGCCGAAGACUGCAGGGCUUGAGUAUGGGAGAGGUAAGCGGAAUUCCUGGUGUAGCGGUGAAAUGCGUAGAUAUCAGGAGGAACACCGGUGGCGAAGGCGGCAUCCUGGACCAACACUGACGCUGAGGAGCGAAAGCCAGGGGAGCAAACGGG
Molecule: ribosomal RNA, 253 nt
Filed under: uncultured bacterium
Lineage: Bacteria
Description: partial 16S ribosomal RNA
Rfam family: Bacterial small subunit ribosomal RNA
Source: RNAcentral